ACGUGUUUUGAAAAUAAUAUUAAUGUGGGACAUCUGGAUUCCACUUUCUCUUUCUCUAUGAUUUUUUGAGUCCCAUAACCAUUUGCCUUCCUUCUUCAGCCUCUCUCUUUUCCGGUCAUCUUCUUGUUCAUCUCCUCCUCCUACUUCGUUGGUUUUCUGUUCAUCUCUUGCAGUCUUGCUGGUUUUCUUCUCUUUCUCUUUUAUUUUAUUUUAUGGAUCAUUAAAUAUUUCUCCUUCCAUCUUUUGUUGUACCAAUGAAUGGCUAUUUGGAUGGGAAAAACAGUCUAAGUUUAUAAUCACUUACUUUAGCUUUAAUCUUCCUUUGGUAUGCUAUCUGUUUAAUUUUGUGCUCAAAAAAUCUAUUUUACUUGUGUUUGGCUUUCAGGGUUUUGUUACUGCAGUUAUUUAUGCCCUCAUUUCUUCCGCUAUUUCUGAUGCAAUAAUUUCCACCUCAAAAGUUCACUAGCACUGACAAAGCUGUGAAUUUUCAAAGGGCCAACCUUCUGUGGUAAGAAAUACUAUCCAGUUGAUUCUGCUAGCUUUAUUAGCUUCCUCUUCUGUUUUUUCCUUGCAUCUGUUUUCCGAUCAUGGGACUUCAAUGAGUUUGUAUUGCUUUUCUCCUAUACUUAGAUGUCUUUGCUGGAUUCUCUACCUGUGUAUCUGAUUUGGUUUGUGUAGAGUAUAUUACUGGAUGAUGUCACUUGAAGCUUGAGUGUGAUUCACUCCAUUUCUUCUGCAUGCAACACUUUGUUGGUCAAGAAUUGGGUAUAUUAACUCCUUAGGUAAAAUUAUUUGUACUAUAGGUGUUCGAUAAAUUUCUUGAAAGAAAUAAAUUUUUGUUAAACUUCUAGAUUUUGCUUCCUUUUGAAGUUUAAGUUUGGUUUUUAUUUUCUUACGGUUGUACUAUAUCUGUCCAUUCGAGAUUUUCAUUUUACAAAAUGAAUUUGGAUUUCAUGAUAAGUGUUAUCACCAGAAAACAAUUUGUUUUGAAGCAUUGAGCAAAGACAAUAAUUUGUACAUGAAAAGAAAAAGUAUUGAACAUGAAGUACAUUUAAGUUUAGAACUAAAUGUUUUUUAUUUCCUGACAUAAUAGUGCCUUUAAUAAUAUUAAAAUUAAUGUUUAUCUCCUCUUCCCAUUUGUGCAUCUUCCUCAGGUUAUAGUAAUGUUUUCGUUGCUUCUUGGUUUCUCAGUUGCAUGUCUCUGUAAUUUUUUGCCUUUGUCCAGCUUUUAUGGUUGCAUUUGUGCUUCUUUGAGAAAAGAUGAACUAUAAGUAAAAAUCAAUUUCUCUUCUUGAUAUGUUUUUUUUUUUGAUUUUGCACCGGGUGUCCGAGUCUCUUUGAGCCCCGACUAAUCCNNN
RNAcentral lists this long non-coding RNA (1358 nucleotides) under Nicotiana tabacum (common tobacco). Its description in RNAcentral is "long non-coding RNA (NTAB_LNC004287)". The record is from RNAcentral. Lineage: Eukaryota; Viridiplantae; Streptophyta; Magnoliopsida; Solanales; Solanaceae.